GCCGGGAUGGUGGAAUUAUGGUAGACACGCACGCUUGAGGGGCGUGUGGGGCGACCCGUGCGGGUUCGAGUCCCGCUCCCGGCA
RNAcentral lists this transfer RNA (84 nucleotides) under Candidatus Eiseniibacteriota bacterium. RNAcentral describes it as "tRNA-Leu". It matches the Rfam family "tRNA". From Rfam's summary of the family: Transfer RNA (tRNA) molecules are approximately 80 nucleotides in length. Their secondary structure includes four short double-helical elements and three loops (D, anti-codon, and T loops). Lineage: Bacteria; Candidatus Eiseniibacteriota. The record is from RNAcentral.